UCCCUGGUGGUCCAGCGGCUAAAAGACUCAGCAAUGCCAAUGCAGGGGGCCCAGGUUCAAUCCCUGGUCAGGGAA
This 75-nucleotide transfer RNA is filed under the name Bos taurus (domestic cattle). It matches the Rfam family "tRNA". From Rfam's summary of the family: Transfer RNA (tRNA) molecules are approximately 80 nucleotides in length. Their secondary structure includes four short double-helical elements and three loops (D, anti-codon, and T loops). Further hydrogen bonds mediate the characteristic L-shaped molecular structure. tRNAs have two regions of fundamental functional importance: the anti-codon, which is responsible for specific mRNA codon recognition, and the 3' end, to which the tRNAs corresponding amino acid is attached (by aminoacyl-tRNA synthetases). tRNAs cope with the degeneracy of the genetic code in two manners: having more than one tRNA (with a specific anti-codon) for a particular amino acid; and 'wobble' base-pairing, i.e. permitting non-standard base-pairing at the 3rd anti-codon position. Lineage: Eukaryota; Metazoa; Chordata; Mammalia; Artiodactyla; Bovidae. RNAcentral also lists the same sequence under 4 other names. The record is from Rfam by way of RNAcentral.